This 276-nucleotide ribosomal RNA is filed under the name uncultured Actinomycetales bacterium. RNAcentral's name for it is "partial 16S ribosomal RNA". It matches the Rfam family "Bacterial small subunit ribosomal RNA", at positions 505 to 781 of the family's 1533-position model. Lineage: Bacteria; Bacillati; Actinomycetota; Actinomycetes; Actinomycetales. The record is from RNAcentral.
GUGCCAGCCGCCGCGGUAAUACGUAGGGUGCAAGCGUUGUCCGGAAUUACUGGGCGUAAAGAGCUCGUAGCUGCUUUGUCACGUCGUCUGUGAAAUUCACAGCUUAACUGUGGGCGUGCAGGCGAUACGGGCUGACUUGAGUACUGUAGGGGUAACUGGAAUUCCUGGUGUAGCGGUGAAAUGCGCAGAUAUCAGGAGGAACACCGAUGGCGAAGGCAGGUUACUGGGCAGUUACUGACGCUGAGGAGCGAAAGCAUGGGUAGCAAACAGGAUUAG